GAUGAACGCUAGCGGCAGGCCUAACACAUGCAAGUCGAGGGGCAGCACAGGAAAGUAGUAAUACUUUUGGGUGGCGACCGGCGGACGGGCGCGUAACGCGUAUACAACCUGCCUUCUACUGGGGGAUAAUUCGGAGAAAUCUGGUCUAAUACCCCAUAACAACCGAUGAGGCAUCUCAUUGGUUUAAAAGCUCCGGCGGCAGAAGAUGGGUAUGCGUGACAUUGGAUAGCUGGUGAGGUAACGGAUCACCAAGGCUACGAGGUUUAGGGGGACUGAGAGGUUAACCCCCCACACUGGAACUGAGACACGGUCCAGACUCCUACGGGAGGCAGCAGUGAGGAAUAUUGGUCAAUGGGCGGAAGCCUGAACCAGCCAUGCCGCGUGCAGGAAGACGGCUCUAUGAGUUGUAAACUGCUUUUAUACGAGGGUAAUAGUAUCUACGUGUAGGUAUUUGAAAGUAUCGUAUGAAUAAGGAUCGGCUAACUCCGUGCCAGCCGCCGCCGUAA
This 506-nucleotide ribosomal RNA is filed under the name uncultured bacterium. Its description in RNAcentral is "partial 16S ribosomal RNA". It matches the Rfam family "Bacterial small subunit ribosomal RNA", at positions 28 to 523 of the family's 1533-position model. The record is from RNAcentral.